CAAUAGCGUAUAUUUAAGUUGUUGCAGUUAAAAAGCUCGUAGUUGGAUUUCGGGUGGGACGCAGCGGUCUCGCAUUGCGUUUGUACUGCUGCAGCCCUCCUUCUUGCCGGGGGCGGCCUCUCGGACUUCACUGUUUGGGGGUCAGAAUCGGCGAUGUUACUUUGAGUAAAUUAGAGUGUUCAAAGCAAGCUUACGCUCUGAAUAUAAUAGCAUGGGAUAACACGACAGGACUCUGGCCUAUCGUGUUGGUCUAUAGGACCAGAGUAAUGAUUAAGAGGGACAGUCGGGGGCAUUCGUAUUCCGUUGUCAGAGGUGAAAUUCUUGGAUUUACGGAAGACGAACAUCUGCGAAAGCAUUUGCCAAGGAUGUUUUCAUUGA
This 378-nucleotide ribosomal RNA is filed under the name uncultured eukaryote. RNAcentral's name for it is "partial 18S ribosomal RNA". It matches the Rfam family "Eukaryotic small subunit ribosomal RNA", at positions 592 to 976 of the family's 1831-position model. The record is from RNAcentral.